Non-coding RNA from Podarcis lilfordi (Lilford's wall lizard), 83 nucleotides. The record is from the annotation of a GenBank genome assembly. Lineage: Eukaryota; Metazoa; Chordata; Lepidosauria; Squamata; Lacertidae.
CUUCCAGUAGCACCUUAGAGACCAACUAAGUUUGUUACUGGUAUGAGCUUUCGUGUGCAUGGUCUCUAAGGUGCUACUGGAAG